AUUUCUCAUCUUACCCUUGGCAAAAGAGCAAAUAAGUGUAUUUUCCAAAAUGCUGAACUACUCCUUUAAUGCAACAAGGACUUUUGCAAGGUUGACUGUGAAAUCUAGCCCAGAUGUCAAGCAAACAUCGGACUUCUGCAGAAGUUCAGUGCAAUCCUGUAAGACAAGAAGAAGACAGAAAGAAGAAAACAUGAGAUGCAGAAAGCAUCUGUGCGCACAUCCGCACGGAAGCUCAAAUAUCUCCCUCCUCCAAAUAUAACAAGCACGGAAGAGGGAAAUAAGAGAAAUGAGACGGCCAACAGGAGGAAAGAUAGAUGACUUGUUUUUCAAUGGAGAACAUCUGCAGUCAGCUCUUUUAUUUCUAUCCUUCCACAUUAUGCAUAUUACUUUAUAAUCUAGGCGGACUAAAACAUUGGAUUGACCAGUUCUGGAUCUUCUCCGCUGCCUGGAGCUCCACGAGCCUCCGCACCGCAGGAUUUAGAAACUACAUUAUUUGAACGUGACAGAUUGUUAUUUAACGAUAGCUGAUGGUUAAUCUAUUUCUGGGAAAGCGGCCCACCGAAUCCACCAGAUGUGCAUGCUAGCAGUUAAUUCGUCUGUUUGAUGCAUUAGUGCGGGCGGCGCUGCCACCUUUGUCUGUCUCGCUGCAGCCUGGCAACCACAUGUUCAUUUGGCCCAUUGUGGACCCGCGGUGGCCCCGUUCUCCUCCCUCUCCUCUGGCCCUUGGAAGAGGGGAUGGGUGUUAUCUGCUCGGCUCCAGGAUUCACUCCGGGCACACGUACAAACUCUCUCACACACUCUCUAAGCGGGCUCUUACAGGGAGGACGUGGAUGGGGUCCAGGAGAGCAGACAUACUUUCUGUCCAAACAAUGAGAUUUCUAAAGUAUCAGAGUGUGUGUGUGUUAAUGCACCCCCAUUUUUAGUUUUUUAAAAGUGCAUUUAUGUGUGGAAGUGUGGUGAAUCUACACGAGGGAGCCAGAGGGGGAGCAGAAGGAGGACAGGAAGUGAAGGGAGGAGAGACCCCUGGUUCAUUCUCCAUCAGGGCCAACCAGUUAAGCAGAGGAUGUGGUUUCACAGUGAGUCAAUGAGCACUUUGCCUAAGGCUGUUACUGAGAGCUACUCGUCCCGUCAGCCAUGCUGCAAACAGCCUGUGGCACUGGGGCAUAUGUUCCACUCAUAGUCAAAUCUAUAGAAAUGAGCUAAAGACCACAACCAGCUGUAUAAGUAUUGAUGCUCCCAGUCCAAACCCACUUUAGCUUUGCAGUCUCAAUUCAAAUUCAUGACCUUUAUUGUAUCAUUGUAAUGAAUAUGGACAUGAUGCAUGCAUCCUUGUGCAUUACGGGCCAGAGAAAAAAAUCGAUACAGCAUAGUAUCGCGAUAUUUGGCAAUAAUUGUAUCAAUACACGGUCGUCAAUUACCGAUCUUUUAUUAUUAGGGCUGUCAAA
Sebastes umbrosus (honeycomb rockfish) is the source of this 1445-nucleotide long non-coding RNA. RefSeq lists it as uncharacterized. The record is from RefSeq and is a predicted model, not a curated record. Lineage: Eukaryota; Metazoa; Chordata; Actinopteri; Perciformes; Sebastidae. The transcript is spliced from 3 exons.